Molecule: long non-coding RNA, 2061 nt
Filed under: Marmota monax (woodchuck)
Lineage: Eukaryota; Metazoa; Chordata; Mammalia; Rodentia; Sciuridae
Source: RNAcentral
GGGGUCUCCUAUGCCCAUGCCUCUCCUGACACAGGAAGACCCCGCUCCACUCUGGCGUCUCAGCCUCUUGUUUGCCCGCAGGACACCGCAGAGUAAGCCCCCGCCAUGUUGUAAUGAGCUUCUGGAGUAACUGAAGCUGAGCUGUCCCGGGUGGUCGCUGCCCCUCGCUGGGGCUUUGGGCUUCAACAAGAGCAAGCUCACGCCUUGGGACUCUGCAGCACAUGCAGAUGGGACACUGUGAGGUGGGGUCCUUGUGGGAGCAUUGCCUGACCCCCACCUGCAAUCCUCCUCCUCCGCCUGCUGCUGUGGGCUUGGUAGUGAGGCCUGGGGCACUUCCGAGGUCUUCCUGCAGAGUCCACAGAGACACAGGCUGGCCAGGGAGCCGGCCUCCACAGCACUCUGGCUGCGUCCCCAUAGGCUGGAGCCCUGGGGUCAGAGCCCUCCUGACCCGGGUCCUGCCCAAGGGCCCACCUCUGCUCUGCUGCGCCAGAGACCACGCCUUCAGCACGAGCUGUGGGCACCAGUCCACCCCAGAGCUGCCGUUUUGCUGGAUUUCCAGCCACUAGCCUCCAACCUGAGAGAGAGCCACCGGUUGGUGUGGAUUUGCUGCGGCAUCCUCAGGAGGUGAGUUCGAUCCACACGGCCUGGAACCUGGAGAUACGACUCGCACGUCUCUUGCUGCUGAGAAUGACUCUGCCUACUUUCCUUCCCAUUUAAACGCAUUUUGAGACAAUUCUAGAUUCCCACACUGCCACGGUGCAGAUGGGGCUGCCCCAGAGGCUCAUGUGAGUCAGCGCAGGAGAGCUCAGGGUGGACGCUGGCGUGGGAGAGCCCUAACCCGGGCAGCGCGUCGGCCCCUGAUGGCGAUUGACUAGGUGCUGACUGUGGGUGUCCAUCUUGUCCUGGUUGAGGAGAGCGUCCCUCUGCCGCCUGACCACGUCUGGAGCUGCUUCCCUGCUCCACACUCCGCCUCGGUGCUCUUCUCACCUGGGCCCCAGGACGGGCACCUCUGAAGCCGUGAGCCCCGGUGAAGUCCUAUCCUCGAGCUGCUUUCGUCACUUCUUCUGGUUCCGAAGCAAAAGAACCCAACACAUGCAGCCUCAGAAAGGGACCCAGAGAGCUACCAGGCACCCUGCACCCCUGUCCCCAAAGGCACCCUCCUGAGUAGCUGUGGUGCAAUAUCAUGACAGGAAACGGCCAUCCAUAAGGCCACGACUGGCUGCCGCCACCAGCAUCGCGCACACUCCUGCUGUGCAUUAGCCCCGAGCAGCUUCACACACCCAGAGGCCACUGAGCGAGCACCCAGGGGCCUCCUGCUGCCCUCUGCCUCGGCCACCCUCCCCCUGCACCACCUGUGACCACGGGGGGCUCUCCUCCGCCUCCAUGGCUACUGCUUAGGAACUGUGCGCACCACCAGGCUGCCCACUGCCUGGUCAUCCUCAUGCCCCCCUGAGGUCACCCAACCUUCUGUGACAAUGGUUUGUCCUGAUUGUGGCUGAGCAGGAGCCCACAGUGGGGGACAAUGGGCUGGACCCCUCACCUGCAGAAGGGCAUGGAGACUGCAGCCUGGAGCCCCUGGCCAGGAUGGUGUGGACGCUGCCUGUGGGUCUCUGAACCUCGGCUUCAUCUCCCUCUCUGGGGUGGACGCCUAGGGUGCGGCCCCCGUGGUGGGGACAGGUUCAGUUGGGGAAGAUUUUGAUGUCUUCCUGGUGAACUGAAAGGUAAUGUCAUGAUCAGAGACUCCUUUUCUUUCUCGUAAUAAUCCAGCUCUCAAAUAUAAGGAACAGUAAAGUGGAAGUUUAAAUAUUAAUAUAUUUUCGUAAAUGCUUGCAUCUAUGAUCCUGGGCUGACAAUUUUUACAACUUUUUAUUUGCAAAAGUCUUCAACCUUUUUUGCUCAGCAGGUAGCUGAAUCGAAAUGAAAAAUGGAACCAGACAGUUUUUACACUGCCAAGUUUUAUCAGCCUGUUUUCUGCGGCUGCGGAUGCAUUUUAAUCAUCUUUACGUCUCAUCCAUCCUUGAUUUCUUUUUGUUCUGAAGUUUCCACGCCAUGUCAUUCCCU